RNAcentral lists this ribosomal RNA (1066 nucleotides) under uncultured bacterium. RNAcentral's name for it is "bacterial SSU rRNA". It matches the Rfam family "Bacterial small subunit ribosomal RNA", at positions 1 to 1051 of the family's 1533-position model. The record is from RNAcentral.
UUAGAGUUUGAUCAUGGCUCAGGACGAACGCUGGCGGCGUGCCUAAUACAUGCAAGUAGAACGCUGAAGAGAGGAGCUUGCUCUUCUUGGAUGAGUUGCGAACGGGUGAGUAACGCGUAGGUAACCUGCCUUGUAGCGGGGGAUAACUAUUGGAAACGAUAGCUAAUACCGCAUAACAAUGGAUGACACAUGUCAUUUAUUUGAAAGGGGCAAUUGCUCCACUACAAGAUGGACCUGCGUUGUAUUAGCUAGUAGGUGAGGUAAUGGCUCACCUAGGCGACGAUACAUAGCCGACCUGAGAGGGUGAUCGGCCACACUGGGACUGAGACACGGCCCAGACUCCUACGGGAGGCAGCAGUAGGGAAUCUUCGGCAAUGGGGGCAACCCUGACCGAGCAACGCCGCGUGAGUGAAGAAGGUUUUCGGAUCGUAAAGCUCUGUUGUAAGUCAAGAACGGGUGUGAGAGUGGAAAGUUCACACUGUGACGGUAGCUUACCAGAAAGGGACGGCUAACUACGUGCCAGCAGCCGCGGUAAUACGUAGGUCCCGAGCGUUGUCCGGAUUUAUUGGGCGUAAAGCGAGCGCAGGCGGUUUGAUAAGUCUGAAGUUAAAGGCUGUGGCUCAACCAUAGUUCGCUUUGGAAACUGUCAAACUUGAGUGCAGAAGGGGAGAGUGGAAUUCCAUGUGUAGCGGUGAAAUGCGUAGAUAUAUGGAGGAACACCGGUGGCGAAAGCGGCUCUCUGGUCUGUAACUGACGCUGAGGGCUCGAAAGCGUGGGGAGCGAACAGGAUUAGAUACCCUGGUAGUCCACGCCGUAAACGAUGAGUGCUAGGUGUUGGAUCCUUUCCGGGAUUCAGUGCCGAAGCUAACGCAUUAAGCACUCCGCCUGGGGGAGUACGACCGCAAGGUUGAACUCAAAAGGAAUUGACGGGGGCCCGCACAAGCGGUGGAGCAUGUUGGUUUAAUUCGAAGCAACGCGAAGAACCUUACCAGGUCUUGACAUCCCGAUGCUAUUUCUAGAGAUAGAAAGUUACUUCGGUACAUCGGUGACAGGUGGUGCAUGGUUG